CUCUUUUGUUUUUCCCAUGUAGUUUAGAAGAAAACUAAACUAUUUAGGUUCUUAAUUAUGUAUGAAAAAUCCCUUCACAGCAGUAGCUAGAUGAAUAUUUGAUUGAAUAAUAGGAGAAGGCAUGUGUACACCAGAGUCCAGAAAUCUCCGAGGUCACUUAAAUUCUACCUAACGCACUCUGUCCUCUGUUCCCAAAAAGAUUCCUGUCUCUCCCAAAUGCAAAAUACAAUCAUCCUUUCCUAAGCUUUCCAAGAAUCUCAUUCCAUUACAGGGUCAGCUCAAGUCUAACAUUUCAUCAUUUAUUAAAUCUAAAUUUCACCAUUUAACAUUUAAAUGCCCAAAAUUAGGACUGAUUAGACCCCAAAUUAUAAUCCAUCCUCGGUCACAUUUUCUUUAUAUCUGUGGACCUGUGAAACUGAAGAUAAAAUAAUGCACCUAAAUUAUGUGCCCUUGCAACAACAGUGGAACUGGCAUAGGUUAAAGUUAUAGACAUUCUAUUUCAAAAAAGAUAAAAGUACAAAGUAAAAGGAGUCACUGGGCCAAAGCAAUUUUGAAAUCCAGUUAGGCCAGAGUUCCUUGAUCCAGCUUCAAGACCUGGGACCAAUCCUUUAUGGCUCUCAGCGUCAUAAUCGAGGCUCUUGAUUUCACGUUCUGAAUCAUCCUUCUGUAGUCAUUAAAGGUAGCAAGCACUUGCAGUUAAGCAGUUUCAUCAGCCUGCUUCUACGCAGUAGAAUUUCAGAUACAUGAUAGCUUCUUUUCAUUUCCUACUUUCUCUGUCCUUUUCAGUCCAACCUGGAUGUAUUUUUGUUGAUAUAAUUUUCUCAAGAAAUACAUCAGUCUUCUGGGAAUUGUCCUGGAUUUCCUGAUUUCCCCCUAUUAAACAAAAGCCACAGCUAUAAAUCAUCUUUUGGAGAUUACCUCCUCUUUUUUUUUUUUUUUUUUUUUCCCCCUGCUCCUGCUGCAAUGGUCAGGGGACAACUCUUAAGCUUCCUACAGGUGAUCUAGUCUGUUUGAGAGGAUCUGUAAGGCAUACUCUUAAUCUAUUAAAAGAUCCUUUCCGGCCGGGCGCGGUGGCUCACGCCUGUAAUUCCAGCACUUUGGGAGGCCGAGGCGGGCGGAUCACAAGGUCAGGAGUUCGAGACCACGGUGAAACCCCGUCUCUACUAAAAAUACAAAAAAAAAUUAGCCGGGCGCGGUGGCUCACGCCUGUAAUCCCAGCACUUUGGAAGGCCGAGGCGGGCGGAUCACGAGGUCAGGAGAUCGAGACCCUACACCCUCCUUGCUAACACGAUGAAACCCUGUCUCUACUAAAAAUACACAAAUUAGCCGGGCGUGGUGGCCGGCGCCUGUAGUCCCAGCUACUAGAGAAGCUGAGACACAAGAAUCGCUUGAACCCGGGAAGCGGAGCUUGCAGUGAGCCGAGAUCGCGCCACUGCACUCCAGCGUGGUGACAGAUCGAGACUCUGUCAAAAAACAAACAAACAAACAAAAACCUACUGCAUCAAUGUUUAUGUUAUAACACCUUGAUGUCAUUUUGGGCAAGAAUGUGAGUCAAGAAAAUCUCCAAACUUCUCAAUAGUAUCAAAUUCGAAAAUAAAUUGAUAAACGUAGUUACUAGAAGUCUAGGAAAAGCAGCGGUUCAGACCUUUCAGAAUAAACUCUCCUAGCCAUUUUCAAGUGCUGCAAGAGGAACCGUAGGGAAUGAUUCAAGACCCCGAGUCUUCUGCCUAGGGAUCCUGAUAUACUACUGCCUAAGUAGAGAGAACCCUGGCUCAUAACAUUAAAUAAACGAAAGCUAAGCAGUGCUCAGGAUACCCAAUGCAGGAAAGAGUUGCCACAAAACUCUUUCUUCAAAGUGAAACAAAAAGCCCAUAUCUCAAAUCACAAAGGUAGUUGAAUGUGGAGGAAAAUAGCUUUCAGAGAGGGCACUCAAGGAGUCAAGGAGAAUUGAUUCACAGGAUGCAACAACAAACAAGGGUUUUGGCACAGUUAACCAUAUUCAUGAACAAGAUGAAUAGAAAAUGCAUGGGAAAUUAGCAAGCAUAGCAAGGAAAGAGAUAAAGGAAAUGCAUGUCACUUUUAUUUAAACGUCAAAGACCCCAACCUGAAAGAGAACUCAAUGCAAGGGACAAACGAAAAAAAAAGAUAUCUCUUUGCCUCACAAUCAAGAAAAAACAGUGAGCUUAUAGCUAAAAGGAUCAAUACAAAACUUAUAGAAAUAAAAACUAAAAUAGAAACAUUGUGUUCCACUAGCCAUGUCUGAAAAAAUCAAAGUAUUUAUGUAAAAAAAGGCUUCCACUGGGGAAAAAGCAGGUAAUCCAACAAAUGAAACAAACAUUUAAAUAAAAGUAUGUAUGAAUAUUAAAAUGGUACACGACAUUUAAAAAAAUAUGACGUAGAAUAAGAGACAUCAAAAUAUAUUGCGAUUAUACUAUUGAAGUAGAAAAAUGAAAAAUUCUUCAGGGUCCAUGCAGAAAAUAUCAAGUCACUCGUGGAGAUGAGUGGUAGGUUUACUCACAUUGGCCAUAGAUUUUUUCAUAACGAAUUGCAGACACAAGUGAACGAAUUAUCUAUAGAUCUGAAGAGAAUAUAUUAUAACACAAUAAUACUAUAAACAGCUUUUGUUGGCUUACAUAUGACAAAACAAAAAUGUUCUCAAAAUAUAAUGAAUUCGAAGAAUCUGUAUGAACCUGUAUACUAAGAGACCAAUAAUGAUGUGCUCUGAAUGUGUUAUUUCCGGAUAGAGAUAGAUUUUGGUUACUUUAUUUGACUCUUUUCAUUGCUUCUUAAAAUAAUGUUGACAUAUUAGUUUGUAUAAAAUAAUUAAAUGAUUCUUCUGAAAAGUUUAAAAUGUCAUUUCAAU
RNAcentral lists this long non-coding RNA (2863 nucleotides) under Papio anubis (olive baboon). RNAcentral's name for it is "lncRNA (ENSPANG00000049059.1)". Lineage: Eukaryota; Metazoa; Chordata; Mammalia; Primates; Cercopithecidae. The record is from RNAcentral.